Molecule: ribosomal RNA, 484 nt
Filed under: uncultured bacterium
Lineage: Bacteria
Description: partial 16S ribosomal RNA
Rfam family: Bacterial small subunit ribosomal RNA
Source: RNAcentral
AUUGAACGCUGGCGGCAGGCCUAACACAUGCAAGUCGAGCGGAUGAAGCGAGCUUUCUCCUGGAUUCAGCGUCGGACGGGGGAGUAAUGCCUAGGAAUCUGCCUGGUAGUGGGGGAUAACGUCCGGAAACGGGCGCUAAUACCGCAUACGUCCUGCGGGAGAAAGUUGGGGAGCUUCGGACCUCACGCUAUCAGAUGAGCCUAGGUCGGAUUAGCUAGUUGGUGGGUUAAAGGCCUACCAAGGCGACGAUCCGUAACUGGUCUGAGAGGAGGAUCAGUCACACUGGAACUGAGACAGGGUCCAGACUCCUACGGGAGGGAGCAGUGGGGAAUAUUGGACAAUGGGCGAAAGCAUGAUCCAGCCAUGCCGCGUGUGUGAAGAAGGUCUUGGGAUUGUAAAGACCUUUAAGUUGGGAGGAAGGGCAGUAAGUUAAUACCUUGCUGUUUUGACGUUACCAACAGAAUAAGCACCGGCUAACUUCGUG